GCUCAAAGCAAAGGUGCAAGUUAUUCUGGCUUGCUGAUUUUUGGUAUGUAAGGCUGGACCCACUUGCUGCGACUUUGGAAGCCUCACCUACGGAUGGACACACCGCGUAGGACUUCCCACUUUCAGGGAAAGGGACUCCAAGUCCUCGCUGCAACCGGGGCUCCCCAGUGACUGCGGAUCUGGAUGUUGGUAACAUAUGCAAGUGGUGAUGGAUCUUUCUUAAUCACUACUCUCUCCAUCAUGUAGUGAUGAAUUGAUGCAUUUCCCUGU
Molecule: long non-coding RNA, 270 nt
Organism: Athene cunicularia (burrowing owl)
Lineage: Eukaryota; Metazoa; Chordata; Aves; Strigiformes; Strigidae
Exons: 3
Source: RefSeq, a predicted model, not a curated record